UACGUAGGUGACAAGCGUUGUUCGGAUUCAUUGGGCGUAAAGGGUGCGUAGGCGGCGCGGUAAGUCGGGUGUGAAAUCUCGGAGCUUAACUCCGAAACUGCAUUCGAUACUGCCGUGCUUGAGGACUGGAGAGGAGACUGGAAUUUACGGUGUAGCGGUGAAAUGCGUAGAUAUCGUAAGGAAGACCAGUGGCGAAGGCGGGUCUCUGGACAGUUCCUGACGCUGAGGCACGAAGGCCAGGGGAGCAAACGGG
Molecule: ribosomal RNA, 253 nt
Filed under: uncultured bacterium
Lineage: Bacteria
Description: partial 16S ribosomal RNA
Rfam family: Bacterial small subunit ribosomal RNA
Source: RNAcentral